RNAcentral lists this ribosomal RNA (138 nucleotides) under Deltaproteobacteria bacterium. RNAcentral describes it as "partial 23S ribosomal RNA". It matches the Rfam family "Bacterial large subunit ribosomal RNA", at positions 2797 to 2925 of the family's 2925-position model. The record is from RNAcentral. Lineage: Bacteria; Pseudomonadati; Myxococcota; Myxococcia.
CCUCAAGAUUAGAUAUCCCUUCCGGUGGAGACACCGGAACUAAAGACCCAUCGAAGACUACGAUGUUGAUAGGCCGGAUGUGUAAGCGUAGUAAUACGUUCAGCUUACCGGUACUAAUCGGUCGUGCGGCUUGGCCAU